UAGCCCAUCCACUUUUAGGCAGCAUACAAUCUUUCUAUAUUUUUUUUUCUCCAAAUGUUGAGGUCUUUCUUCUGAAACAAAGAAGAAAUAGUCAAAACAGACAUGUCCUCUUGGAAAUGGGGUCCAGAUUUCUCUACUCCCAAGCUCCAACAAA
This 154-nucleotide long non-coding RNA is filed under the name Jaculus jaculus (lesser Egyptian jerboa). RNAcentral's name for it is "Rhabdomyosarcoma 2 associated transcript conserved region 10 (ENSJJAG00000001057.1)". It matches the Rfam family "Rhabdomyosarcoma 2 associated transcript conserved region 10". The record is from RNAcentral. Lineage: Eukaryota; Metazoa; Chordata; Mammalia; Rodentia; Dipodidae.